GCACCGAGGAUCAGGAAAAAGAUGAGUCUGUGACAGUAGGAGUGAAGUUUAUGGAAAAAGUGGACUCUUGCCUUUUGGCUGAUCCAUUUGUGGCUUCACAGUGGGUGAAAAAAGAUUUGGUUUAAUUGUAAGAGACAAAGGAAUGUGUAACAUUAGGGAAAGUAGUAGAAUGUGUUAAUUGUAGGGGUGUCCAUGGAGCUGGGGAUCAGAAAUGUCCUGUGCGAGAGAGGCAGGUUGAGGUUUCCAGGGUUAUAGUAGCGCAGAAGUUGUCAUAUGCUGAGGCAGUGAAGAAAGUAGAGGAAGAUGGGUUAAGGGGAGGAGUGGUGAGAGUAGUGGAGAUAUACCAGUACAGAGGGACAGGGCAAAAUGUGAAAUAUGUUUCAGUAAGAUUGGAUUUUUAGCAUUUAUAGCAAUGGUUAUGAACUGUACAGCAGGGAUGGAUCUGAAAGGAAGGAAAAGUGUGUUUGAAACUAAAAUCGCUAGUAACAACCAGCAUCAAACGUAACAUUGCUUGUCAAAUGGAUAUCAUUUCUCGUUAUGGUUUGUAGUUAUGCUGGCUGUGCUUCUGCUGUCUUUCUACAACAUCCGAAGUUUCCCUGGCACACAAACGUACUUGUUUCAUUUCGAAUGCUAAGCUGGACAGGAAAAUGGUCCAAUUCACACACUGAUCAAGACAACAUCCCUGGUCGUCCCUACUGCCUCUGAUCUGGAGGACUCACUAAACAGAGAACAUCCCUGGUCAUCCCUACUGCCUCUGAUCUGGAGGACUCACUAAACAGAGAACAUCCCUGGUCAUCCCUACUGCCUCUGAUCUGGAGGACUCACUAAACAGAGAACAUCCCUGGUCAUCCCUACUGCCUCUGAUCUGGAGGACUCACUAAACAGAGAACAUCCCUGGUCAUCCCUACUGCCUCUGAUCUGGAGGACUCACUAAACAGAGAACAUCCCUGGUCAUCCCUACUGCCUCUGAUCUGGAGGACUCACUAAACAGAGAACAUCCCUGGUCCUCCCUACUGCCUCUGAUCUGGAGGACUCACUAAACAGAGAACAUCCCUGGUCAUCCCUACUGCCUCUGAUCUGGAGGACUCACUAAACAGAGAACAUCCCUGGUCAUCCCUACUGCCUCUGAUCUGGAGGACUCACUAAACAGAGAACAUCCCUGGUCAUCCCUACUGCCUCUGAUCUGGAGGACUCACUAAACAGAGAACAUCCCUGGUCCUCCCUACUGCCUCUGAUCUGGAGGACUCACUAAACAGAGAACAUCCCUGGUCAUCCCUACUGCCUCUGAUCUGGAGGACUCACUAAACAGAGAACAUCCCUGGUCAUCCCUACUGCCUCUGAUCUGGAGGACUCACUAAACACAUGCUUCAUUUGUAAAUGAUGUCUGAUUGUUGGAGUGUUCCCCUGGUUAUUUCUUAAAUAAAAUAACAAGAGAAUCGUGCUGUCUGGUUUGCUUAAUAUAUGGAAGGUCAAAUCAUUUAUACUUUUACCACUGAUACUUAAGUAUAUUUUAGCAAUGACGUUUACUUAGUAUUUUACUGGGUGACUUUCACUUUUACUUGAGUCAUUUUCUAUUAACAUAUUAUUAUUGUACCUUUUUCCCUUCAUUUGCCUACUACUGUGUAUAAGCUGUCAUAACAUGUGGGUCUUUUCAUGGGGACCAGGUAUCGGAACGCCUUUGAAGGGUCUACAAAGCCCCCAGGUAAAAGUUGGCUUUUGCAGACAAGGAUUGUAUUGUUACUCCACGACAUAAUAUGUUAUCACAACUCUAUUAAAAGGACAUUCUACACAA
This 1792-nucleotide long non-coding RNA is filed under the name Salmo salar (Atlantic salmon). RNAcentral describes it as "lncRNA (ENSSSAG00000100550.1)". The record is from RNAcentral. Lineage: Eukaryota; Metazoa; Chordata; Actinopteri; Salmoniformes; Salmonidae.